AAGCUCGUAGUUGAAUUUCGGGGUUAGUAGGUUGGUCAUGCCUCUGGUAUGUACUGGUCUCACUGAUCCCUCCUUCCUUAUGAACCGUAAUGCCAUUAAUUUGGUGUUGCGGGGAAUUUGGACUGUUACUUUGAAAAAAUUAGAGUGUUUAAAGCAAGCUAACGCUUGAAUACAUUAGCAUGGAAUAAUGAAAUAGGACGUUCGAUCUUAUUUUGUUGGUUUUCUAGGAUUGACGUAAUGAUUAAUAGGGAUAGUUGGG
This 259-nucleotide ribosomal RNA is filed under the name uncultured Glomus. RNAcentral describes it as "partial 18S ribosomal RNA". It matches the Rfam family "Eukaryotic small subunit ribosomal RNA", at positions 624 to 886 of the family's 1831-position model. Lineage: Eukaryota; Fungi; Glomeromycota; Glomeromycetes; Glomerales; Glomeraceae. The record is from RNAcentral.